AAGCAUAUAACUAAGCGGAGGAAAAGAAACUAACCAGGAUUCCCCCAGUAACGGCGAGUGAAGCGGGAAGAGCUCACCUUGAAAAUCCGGCCUUCGGGCCCGAGUUGUAGUCUGGAGAGGCGUGGCCUGCCGCUGUCCGCGGCAAAGUCUGAUUGGAAAUGAGCAUCAUGGAGGGUGAUAAUCCCGUUGAAGCCGCGGUAUCAACCAGCGCGCGUAAGGCCCGUUUUCGGCGAGUCGAGUUGCUUGGGAUUGCAGCUCAAAGUGGGUGGUAAACCCCACCCAAAGCUAAACACGGGGGGGAGACCGAUAGCGAACAAGUACCGUGAGGGAAAGAUGCAAAGAACUUUGAAAAGAGAGUUAAAGAGUGCCUGAAAUUGCUGAGAGGGAAGCGAAGGAAAGUAGUGCCGGUUGCGGGUGACCUUUUUGAGUUCCCUUCGGGGGCUCGGAUAUGUCGCUCGCCUUUGUCAGGGGAGGCAGUGAGGCUUUGCGGGAUGAUUGGGGUCGGAAGGUAGCCCUCUUCGGAGGGCGGAUGAACGGCCCUGCUUAAUGCGUCGCGGGCCAGGUGACCCUCGUUGGAUGACCUGGCGAAUUGCUUUUCUUUUCCCCGUCUUGAAACACUGACCAAGGAGUCUAACAUGCCCGCGAGUACAGGGGUGGAAAAACCCGCGUGCGAAGUGAAAGUGACCGUAGGUGGGCGUUGCCCCAUCUACCGACCAUGUCCCUCCGGGGGCGAUGUUUGAGUGUGAGCGUGCAUGUUGGGACCCGAAAGAUGGUGAACUAUGCCUGAAUAGGGCGAAGCCAGGGGAAACUCUGGUGGAGGCUCGUACCGAUUCUGACGUGCAAAUCGAUCGUGAUAUUUGGCUAUAGGGGCGAAAGACUAAUCGAACCAUCUAGUAGCUGGUUCCCUCCGAAAUUUCCCUCAGGAUAGCUGCAGCCUAUUUCUUUGUCAGUUUUAUCAGGUAAAGCGAAUGAUUAGAGGCUGCGGGGGAGUAACUCCCUCGCCCUAUUCUCAAACUUUAAAUGGGUAAGGUACCGGGGUCGCUUCGUUGGACCCCUGGUCUGUCGAAUGAAGGUUGCUAGUGGGCCAGUCCGGGUAAGCUGGACUGGCGAUGCGGGAUGAACCGAACG
Molecule: ribosomal RNA, 1128 nt
Filed under: Distromium sp. 3
Lineage: Eukaryota; Phaeophyceae; Dictyotales; Dictyotaceae
Description: partial 26S large subunit ribosomal RNA
Rfam family: Eukaryotic large subunit ribosomal RNA
Source: RNAcentral